RNAcentral lists this ribosomal RNA (433 nucleotides) under uncultured bacterium. RNAcentral describes it as "bacterial SSU rRNA". It matches the Rfam family "Bacterial small subunit ribosomal RNA", at positions 957 to 1391 of the family's 1533-position model. The record is from RNAcentral.
GAACGCGAAGAACCUUACCAGGUCUUGACAUCCCUCUGACCACUCUAGAGAUAGAGUCUUCCUUCGGGGCAGAGGUGACAGGUGGUGCAUGGUUGUCGUCAGCUCGUGUCGUGAGAUGUUGGGUUAAGUCCCGCAACGAGCGCAACCCCUAUUGUUAGUUGCCAUCAUUCAGUUGGGCACUCUAGCGAGACUGCCGGUAAUAAACCGGAGGAAGGUGGGGAUGACGUCAAAUCAUCAUGCCCCUUAUGACCUGGGCUACACACGUGCUACAAUGGCUGGUACAACGAGUCGCAAGCCGGUGACGGCAAGCUAAUCUCUUAAAGCCAGUCUCAGUUCGGAUUGUAGGCUGCAACUCGCCUACAUGAAGUCGGAAUCGCUAGUAAUCGCGGAUCAGCACGCCGCGGUGAAUACGUUCCCGGGUCUUGUACACACC